This 32-nucleotide transfer RNA is filed under the name Paris thibetica. Its description in RNAcentral is "tRNA-Ile". Lineage: Eukaryota; Viridiplantae; Streptophyta; Magnoliopsida; Liliales; Melanthiaceae. The record is from RNAcentral.
CGAAUACGAUGAUUCCUGUUAAGUUAUAUACG